Molecule: long non-coding RNA, 11128 nt
Filed under: Cinara cedri
Lineage: Eukaryota; Metazoa; Arthropoda; Insecta; Hemiptera; Aphididae
Source: RNAcentral
CGAUAAUCUAAUUUUUAAUUUUCCUUGUGGUUUUCAUAAUAAAUAUAAGCAACAAUGGAAAAUGUUUGUAUAAUUUUUGUUGAUUUCUGGGUGAUGACAAUAAUGAAGACUAAUAAUAUUUCGCUCAGAAUUGAUUUUCGUUAGCAGUGGUGUGUCGUGUUGAAUUUCGAUUUCAUCACAUUAUUAUGGUAUAAGCUUUUUCUGCAGCUACUCAAUUGUAGGUAGGUACUGCUUAUAUACUUAUCCGUGUAAUUUUUCUCAUUUAUACUAUCUAAAUUUUUAUAUUAUUAUAUGUUAGUUGCUAUGGAUCGAUAAUUGUGCGUCGAAGAAUAAACUGUAAAAGAAAAAAAAAAAAAGAAAAGAUUUUCAACGUAUGUCCAUAAAAUCCUGGGAAGAUUCCCAAUGGGCCACGACUAUGUACACUUGUCCCCUAAUAUGUACCUGCUUUAACUGUUCGCCGUAUAUUGACGAAACCAUCUUGUUUAUCUGUAAGUAUAUACAUCCUUUAAUAACGGCUCUAUAUAUUGCCGUUCUUCGCUCUAUCUGUUAGCUUACCCCUAUUCCCUGCCAAAUUCCCCUACCUGAGACCCAACUAUACCUCAAUUAUUAUUACUAUUUAGCGAGUGAGUAUAUGCAGCUAGUACUAAAAUUGUACACCAUUAAUUUUGGACCUAAAUAAUUUUGAGUAUUAAAUACUUGUGGUGCAUAAUUUUGAUCAGUAAGACUUUUGAUAAUAUUAUCAUUCGCUCGAUCAAUAAUAAUAAAAUCAUUAAAAUAUAGUAACAAGCAUUUUAAUUAUUUUAUUUAAGGGUAAUUUAUUAUUUUUACAAAAAAAUAAGAUCAAUUGAAUUAUUAUAACAUGUAAACUGAAUAAGUAUAUAUUAUUAUAUAGUAUUAUAUUUUUUCUAUCUUUGUAAGAUAAAAUAAAACUAGUAAUACAAUAGUCAAAAACUUUAAAAUAAUCUAAACUUCACUGAUACUCGCCAUUGAUAUAGCUUAUAAAAUAAAUAUAAUAGUAUAUAAUAAGUACCAUACUUAUUCAGACUAUUCAGUUUACAUGUUAUAAUAAUUUUAUUGAUCUUUUUUUUUGUACAAGUAAUAAAUUAUCCUUAAAAUAAAAUAAGUAAAAUAGAUAUCACUAUAUUUUAAUGAUUGUAGUUCGUAAAAGGCCUAAAUUUUGUUAGUCUACAUGCAAUAAGCCUGAAAAACAGUAGGCCGUUUGAAAAAAUAAUAAGCAGUUCGCAAACGGGCCACCCCAUUGCAAAGAGCCUAGUCUUUUAGCAAAAAGACUAAAUUUCCAUAUGGCUUACGACGUAUAUACUGAAUUCAAAAUUGUUUAUUACAUAAUUUAUGUUUUUAAUUUCGUAUUACAUCGUAUUAGUAGAAUGUUGAGUACUUAAUCAUAUUAUUUUAUAAUGUACAACGUACCGAAACGUUCGCUGCUCUCAAUCUAAAAUCGUAUCUAAUUUUCGCAAGGGUCAUGACAAAAUUGUUAAAUAUGAAAAGUCAGAUAAAUACAACAUUUCUGAAAGAGAAUAUUAUAUAAAGGAGGUAAUUUUUUGAUUUUCCCAAUAAAUUAGAAAAAUCAGGAAAAACAUGGGAAAACCGAGAGAACGUUUUUUCGUUAGCAAUCGUUGCUUACAGAUAUACAGUAAAUUCCCGUCUAUAUCCUACCUUCCCAACUUUAUCGUCCAUAUUAUCUUAGGACAGCUUAUUUUAUACUAAAAUUCGAGAUUUUUAUUAGUAGUUGUUUUUUGGAAAGAUUGAAGUGAUGACAGUUGGGUUGAAUUUCAAUAUGAAUACAACCGUGUUUUUGCGGGUAAAUACUGUAAUUUUUUUAGUUUUGUAUACUCCAACAAAUUCUCCAUAUGAGACUAGGAGAAUGCAAUUUUGCACAUAGGUAAAUGGUGUUAAUAUUAAUGAUAUGCCUUUUAGAUGUUUCAUAAUUCAAUCCUCACUACUACCAUUUUUAUGAUCAAAUUACACAUUUUUGGAAGCAGUAUAGUUAUAGUAUAAUUAUAGUACCUAUUAUAUUAAUUUUACUUUAUAGUGACGGAGCUCUGUUGCUCACAGAUUUUUUUUACAUUAUAUCAGUUUUAGCCAAAGAAACCAAAAAAUAAAUAAAAAUAAUAUCAAUGUAUUAUUUAAUGAAAGUUUUUUAAAUUGUGUAGAAAAAUUGUUGGGAAACUAAAAAUUGUUUUCAAGUAAAUUACUACCGGGCGAAAAAUCCGCAUCUAAGGUACGAUUUAAAGUAUUUUUACUAAUCGAAAACCACAUCUUAGUAAAAUCUAAUAACUUAAAAUUUGUGUGAUUUUAUGACAAUAGUGGUGUGAAAUGAUUUUAUUGUUUUUAUUUUAUUGCUUUUAUUGCGAGGUGAAUGCCAUAGGUGUUAUGACGUCGUUUGCUAAAGAAUGUGUGAGGGAGAUGUCCGAUUUACAAAUUUCCAAUGGAGAACGAAAUCUCGUUAUUCCCUCCAUAUACACGACGCAAUUAAAAUACAAAAUAUAAUCGCCAACGCGUUAAUAACAAUAUAAUUAAUGAUAAAAUCAACGCGGCAUCGACCCGUGAUUAUUUGAAUUCCACAAAGCGGCGCGCGCUUGACUCUCGGUCACGAUGACGGUGAGCGGCCGGCGCGGCGGCGAGGAGACUUGAGGUCGCGGACGGACAGAGCGCGUGGCGUGGCGGGGGCCCAUAUUGAUCUGACGGCGCGCAUUUCUGACUGCGACCGCCGACGAUUUUGCGAUAUCCGCCGAACGGACUCGUGCGCGUGUACGCGAGCCCACUGUGUCUAUAAACACGUAUGCGUGCGUGUGUGUGUGUGUUUAGGAGUGUAGGUGAGCGUGGGCAAGCGCGCGCGGGUCCGUUUUCCCGUACGGCGCGUAUCAAACAGGUGCGCGUUGCUAAACCCGCGAAAGUUGCGUCAUUUCGUUGUCGUUAUCGCGAGGUCCGAGGCAGGCCUUGUUCUAACGGGCAGUAGAACCCAAAUUAGACAGUAGAAAAUAUCAAAAGUGCAGUUGGUUUCGUGAAUGUGGGUACUUUACAAAAAAUAUAAUUUUCCUGAUCGUCGAGUGAUUGAAUUCCUAUACUCGGUAUUGCGUAACUUAAAAACCUACCUUUUACCUAAAGCUGGUUACACUCCACGUAAUUCGUACUUCACGCUUUUCCUGAGUUAAUUCGUUAUUUUUUUGCUGUAUUUUUUUUUUCAAUUUCAUUUUCUUCUUAAGAUUUGUUUUUUUUUUUAGGGUGGAGGGUGUGUACUAAAGUUCACGUGAAUUUCAUAAAAAAAAAACUUUUCGGUGUAUUUUGGACAGUAUAUAAAAAUCCUUAGAAUAAGCUCGGGUCCGAGAGGCUCAAACUCGUAUCCCAUCCUCUUCCAGAGAUCUGUUAAUGUUUUUGUUAUGAAUAUUAGAGUCCAGUCGUUGUGUGUAGUUCUAAGAAACGUUAUGGAAACUUAUUUAUAACUAAUUAAGCAAAAAAUCACUUAAAAUGUAAAAAUAUAUAUAAUAACGUGUCCCAUGAAGAUCAAUUGCAAUAUCUCAGAAAGUAUUAAUUUUGUACGGAUUUUUUUUUUUUGAGAAUUUAAGAAACAAACAAACAGCUCUGAAAUGUUACAUUGCCAUUAUUUCUUGUCGCUCUUAUUUUUGAAAAUGAAACAACUAUCUACUUUUGAUUUUCAAAAGACAACCUAUAUAAAAAAUUCCAUAAACAAAUGAAAUGUUAGUUUAAAACAUUUUGGUACUGACAUUUUUUUUAUUUCCGUCAAGUCGUUUACCAGAUAUUCCACCUUAUUUAUAUAGAGUUAUUCGUAUGGUUCAAGUAAUAAUCAAUAUUAGAUAUUCCUGCUUUAAAUUUGGAUAGAGAAAGUGUAGUGGAGUUAGACGCCGCGCCGGCACAAAUGGUGCACAAUAUAUAUUACUGUUUAAUUUCAAAAAUCAAAGACACAUAUUCAGUACCUAUAGCAUCUCUGUACAAAAAAAAAAAACAAUAAUAAUAAUAGAUACAAUAAAUGCAAUUGAAAAAGGUUAACCUAACCUAACUUACUAGGUUAAUACCUAGUGUUAUAGCUGAUACAUAUUCGAUCAAAUAGAAAAAUAAAGCCAACGCUUAUACCACUUCAGAACUUGAAUUAGCAUUAUUAUGAUCGUGUGAAUCACAUUGUCGUUCAAUCAUAAAGGCGGGGGAGGACAUGUUUUGUGUCGACGAGUGAUUUUCGUGAUAUUUCCGUCAAAAUAACACGGCAAAACAAACGACGUAUUACCUCCUAUACCGCGCGCGUUCUCCCUUCCCGGUCCGUGUAUAUUAUAAUGCCUUUGGAAACUAUUCAAAAGCUCCGUGUGCGUUGCAAUAUUAUAUUGUGUACCAUAUGUGUAAUUACGGUUUAUACACCCCGUGUACAAUAUUAUAUUAUAUAAUGCGCGGUAAUGGCGAACGGUUUAGAGUCAGAACUUUAGACAGUAGUGAUGAGGAUCGGACGGUACACAAAUGGUCAAAAUAGAUAUAAAGCGACAAACCGCUGUGCUGUUGUGCUUUGAAUUAGACUGUUAUUUUUUUAAAAAAUUUCCCUUUACUUUUAUUAAUAAUAGGGGAAAACGGGAAUAUUUACAGAACAAUGGUUUCUGUAAAAACCGAUUUUGUUAUUUUGAUUUUAUUAUUCUUAGCGUCCUAAUAUUUCUUCAGAAGUAGUACUCUGCAGACGUGGUUCAAUUUCAAAAAUAUUUCGGCGCUUUUAAAAUUAUUUUUAGCUAUUUGAAAAAUUAGAAUAUUUUUAGCUUUCUGUGGACACAAUUUUUUGGCUUCUCAAAAUUGGUCGAAUAUUUAAUACCAGGUUCAUUAUUGAGUUGUACUUUGUGAUAAUAAAAAAAGUUAGCCUAAAAACUUUUUUUAAUGAGCGUUUUAAGUUCAAAUUUAUGACAAUUAAAUUCGUUUUGAACAUUUUCAAUAUAUGUUAAGUUAAAAAUUAAUAACAUUGUCAAUUUAAAUUUAUCCAAAAAUAUUUAACAGAACUCCCUCGAAUAGUUUGCAAUCAUUUUUCAUUGGAUACGGUGUUACUGUUACUUUAUUAAUCAACUAAAUUACCCUUCACAUAAUUCUACGUUUUUCUAACUUACCUGAAAUAGUAGCAUUGUAACUUAUCCAUGAGCAUUGAGCAGUAUCUUUUUAAUGAUCCAACGUAAAUAGUAAUUGUAUGUAUAUAUAUAUAUACAAUUUGUUUUGCUAAUUCAAAAUGAUGCCAACAUUUUACUAAUACUCUUCAAUUUUUUUUUUAAUUCGGUUUAGGUUAGUAGGCCAGACCCCUGGGUCCUCGGAUGCAACCUAGGUACCUACUGCCUGUGUAAAUAAAUGUGUAUGCAAAUUAUAUCGCCCCCUACCUAUUAGAUUAGUUUAGAUGUAUACUAAAAUGCAUCAUUGCAAUGAUUGCUUAUUAUAACUGUAUAAAUAUCAAGUGUGUGAUUUAUUACCUCGUUGUCGUUUAUAGUCGCAGUCACUAAUACGCAAUAAUUGAAUACGCAGUAUUUGUAUUCGAGUAUAUAUAUUAGGUACAUUUCAAUAUGUUUUAAGAUUAAACUCAUCAUUACAUAAUACAUUAUUUUAAUUUGCACGUGUAUAUAAUUAAUUCAUAUUUAAUUCCUGCCAAACAUAUUAAUCCACUUAUCGUUUAUAAGUUUAUCUUAAUACAUGUUAAUACCAGAGUUAAAGUUAACAAAAACUUUGAAUUAACUCUAAUGUUAGGAAAUGAGUACUAAAAAGUUAUCAAACCGGUUAAAUCCGGUUUUGAUAUUAACUGGCUAUGUUAGAAAAUUUACAUGAAUGUAAAGUUUACUUUAUAAAAUGAAAAAACCAGAAUAUUUUAAGCUUAAGGUUUAAAUUUAAGCUUUAACAUUUUAAAAUAAAGUAAACUAAUAUUUAGUUUAUAUAUAGUAUUGUUUUUAUUUUAAACAAAUUAUUUUAAUAAUAACAAAAUAAACCGGUUUUAUUAAUUUGAAAAAUGAUUUUGAAUAAGCAUAAAGUAUAUGAUAAAUAUUAACCGGUUUUUUAACUCGAAAAAAUAAAAAAAUAACUAAAUUCAUUAACCUAAAAAAUAAUUUCGAUUUUAAGUCCCGAUUUAAAAGUGCUUUUAUAAUAUGUACGUUUAACUAAACACAAAUUAAGUUAAUGUAAACAGUGACUUCAUGUAAACAAUAUGUAAUUUCUGUAUUAUUACUCCUAGGGGUUAUCUCUAAUAUUAGAUAAAGUCAAUCCGCCCCUGAUUUCAAACAUGGCUCGCCGGAAAUAAAACGUCCAAAAUUGAUGUUAUUACAUAGGUAUUAUUAUUUUAAUUAAGUACCACAUUAUGUUCAUUAUAACUCAUCAUCACUGUGAAAAAAUUUUCCUUAAGGGUUUGAGACAAAUUAUUUCGGUUUUCUGGGUUUUCAUAAUAGUGGUUUUGAUUGCACAGCGGCUGAUAUUUUGAUUUUGAUUUAUAAACUUCACAUACCUAACGUUUGUCCAUUUCAAAAGUCAUACAAUUUUUUUUCAUUUUAUUACAUAACUAAGAAUUACCAUAAUACAAACGCUAGAUAAAUAUGUUUACCCUAUGAAUUAUGUUUUUUUAUAGGAUCUAUUUGUGUUCAAGUAUUUUUAAAAUUUUGUUUUUUUCUUAAAAUAACUAGUAACAACGUAAAAACUAAAUUCGUUUCAAUUUCCGAUGAUUCUCAUUUCUUACAGUAUUUUUCGUUUAACAAUAUCCGGACGCUAUUUCAGUCCACCUUGCGACUUUUAAAAACUUUUAAACAUUUAUACUUGCACUAGUAAAAAAAGAACGAAGAAAAUUAUUAUUUCCGUACAGACAAAAUCAAUAAUAAUUAUAAUGGUCAAUAACACAUUUAAAAAAAACGAAACAAUCCCAAUACUAGUUUAUGUUCAUGUAUCAACCCACACUCAUAAAUCACGUAUUUUCUUCUUCGUUUUUACCAUCCCACGCCAGUAGGUAUGACGCAGUAUAUAUAUAUAUAUCCCUAUAUAAGUUUUCUAGAAAAAUGUAUUGUUCUAUUAAUAAUUGGCUUUGUAUACAAUGCAUACAAUCUAAAAAUAAAAAUAAAACGCACACAUAAAAAGUAUUGUUUUCUUAAACCGCUACAAUAUGUAUUUAAAUAUAAAUAAAUUAUGUACAUUUCACCAGCUACUAGCCAUUCAAAAAGUUCAAUUUUUUUUGUGCUAAUAUUUAGCGUGUAGCAUACGUUUGCGUGACUAUCGCCGUAAUUGCAUGUCUUUAGUUAGAUCUAUACGUUUUACAAAAAAUUUAAUUAAAUUUAAUAAAGUUAAAUAAUCUACAAAUAAAACCAAAAAUAAUAAGUUUAAAAUAACCUUAAGAUUUAAAUAAGUUUAGAAAGUAAUGUUGUUAAACAAAUUAUAAAUACAAUAAUUUAAUUAUUUAAAUUCGAUAAAAUAAACCCAAAAUUGAAUAUGACAUAAAACAUGUAUUCAUUUUGACAGUUAGACAUGUUUAUUCGAUUUUAAAAUUAAUGCAAAAUAAAUAAAUAGGUACUCGAAAUUUAAAGCUAUAUAUAUGUAUAUAUAUAUAAUCUCUUUACGAUGUCAUAUAAUUAUAUAUUACUAAAAUAAUUAAUUUAAUCUUGUAAACAAUCGAAUCAAACUAAAAGUGAACGAAUACAACAUUCAAACACACUAAAAGUUGUAAAGUUAUAACAUUCAUAAGUCAACUUAUUGCGCUACUACCUCUCAUACUCCGAAUAUGCAUGACGCAUCUCUUGAUCAGCUUAUCAACUAUAACAUGGUCUAUUUGGUUCUUUAUUUAUCCUGAUUGUGAAACCCAGAUUAGCUUAUGCAUACCUUUAUGCGGAAAUGUAGUGCUACUUACUUAUAUACUUCUAAUCAUAAAAAAAUUAACUAAUUUUGUACCAUUAUCGUUUGAGACUCUAUGUAGCCUCCUCCCCAAUUGUUGUUCUGUAUAUUAUUUCCUACCCUAUUUUCGCAUUACAAUUAGUCAGUAAGAUUUUCAUUUUAUUAGUCGGUACCAAAUCACACAUAUUAUCUAAAUCUUCGUAAAAUAUAUCUUUGACCUCCUCUUCUUUGUCUUUAGUUAGAGUAUACUCGUUAGUUAUUAUCACGUUAAACCAUCGGAAUUUCAGUUUAAUAUAGUAAAUUCUGUCAUUUACUGCCUUAAUCUUUUUAACUCUAGGUAAUAUCUUGUCAUUUAAAUUGAAACUAACACCUUACUAAUGUCCAGUACCAAACUAUGGAAUACCGCCCGAUUUUCAAUUUUUAAGCUUCCUUCUCCUGGCCACCUCACUUUUUGAAUCGUAAUAAUGUCCAAUCAAUGUCGUUCAAGUUCCAAUAUCGAUGUAGUCAAAUUCCAAACCUACAUAACGUUUGCCUUAUAAUUAUUUUCUGAAAUAUCGUCGAAAUUGUCUACUCGUGCCCGUUUUUUAAUGCAGUUAAUUUUAAUUAAAAGUUAAUUUGAUUAAAAGUUUUUAAACUUUCUUACUGACCGUCUAAUUAGUAUUAUUUUCGCAGUUAAUAUUAACUUAAAAAUUUUGGAUUCCAUUACAUAAACUUAUCUUAAUUAAUUAGGUAAACUUAUCUUUUCGUACAAUUAAUUUUCAUAAACAUCCAGUUGAUUUAUACCUAAAUUUAAAGAUUUUGUUUUUUUUCAACAUACUAAUUUAUAAUACAAUUUUAUUGGUUCUACCACAAUACAUGCAUUAUAGCUUUAAUAGUCAGAUAAUGAUCAUAAUAUUAUAUCGAAGAGACUUUGGUACUAAUGUGCAUUGAUAAUUAGUGUCACAUCAACGGAAGAAAAUAAUCUAAUCGAUAUAAAAUUGAAUACAUAUUAUGAUACUGUAUAUUGAAUAUAAUCGCAGGUCGACUAUUUCAAUAUACUUUCAUAAAUAAUACAUGCUGCAUAAAAAAAAAAUAUGCAUUAAAUAUUAUAUUAACUAGACUUGCAAUUUUGUUUUUCUAUUAGGUAUAUUUUUUAUGGUAUAUUCUCAUGUGAAAAGCCAUUUUGUUAUAAAAUUCCCUGCCUCUAGCAUAAAAUUAUCAUCAAAAAGGUAUCUACAUUCGUUAAAUAGCAUAUAUAAUAUUAUAUAGGUAUGAGUAGGUUCAUAAUAUAGGUCCCUAUGGGUCAUUUUUGUUUAAUAUAUUCUAAUAUAUGUUAAUAUUCUAACCUCUAAACAUAUAAGUAAAGUUUAUUUUGUAAUUUGUUUACAAUUAUAAUAUGCUUUGAAUGUUGAUGAUUAUUCUUAGGAGUUAUUGGUAUUAUAUUCUGAGCGCAGUAAUGACUUUUUUAUGAUGUCAGUUUAGAUUCUGUGAAUAGCAAGACAUGUUUUAUUAUGAUGUAUUUUUUUUGUCUGUAAACAACUUUUCUAACAGAAACCUGACAUUUUCACAGAGUAUAUAUAUUUGCAUUUUUUAGACGUGGUCAAAUUUUAAAAAAAUUCUGGUCAUUUUUAACUUCACACCUUAUACAACAGUGACACAUGUUUAUAAUUUUUUAGAGCAACCUUAAUAAUGCUUGAAAAUUUAUUACGAGGUUUAUCAUAAGUGACAUAAGUUGUAUAGUAUAUAUAUAUAUAUAGUUUUGUAUAUAUAGUGGUAAAAAAAAUUAAACAGUAAUAGCAUGUUGCAGUUAGCACUAAGUAGUUAAAAUUUUUGGCUAAAAUCGCGGUGUUUCAAAACCUACCUAAGAAUCAUCAUAUAUUUGACAAAAAUCACCAAAGUGAUAACAGAGGUUUAAAAUCGGUUUUCAUAAUUGCAAAAAAAAAAAAAAUGAGACUUAAAAAAAAUUAGCGUCUCUUACAAUUAUUGGAAUCAUCUUAAACCGUGGGAUAUAGGUUUCUUUUUAAACAUUGAAUAGUAAUUUAUAAUUUAUAAAAAAAUAAAUAACCAUUAAUAUUUUUGGAUAAGUUAUAGUUAUAUAUUUAUAAAUGCAUUUUGGAUGCACCUAGAGACCCAAGCCGUCGCUCUCUCUGACUAUUUUAAUCAGAAAAUACUCCUAAAUUUGUUGUGCAAACUUUUGUACCAGAAAUCUUGUUACGAUUUAUCAAGUAUAGCACUUUUUCUGAAAGGAAAUGUUGUCUACAUGAUACUUUAGGGAGAUCAUUUUUUGAUUUUCCAAGCGGUUUUCAUGAUAAUUGGGAAAAACCGGGAUAAAAUGUCGGAAAACUGGAAAAUUUAUGAAAAUAAUAAUUUUAUAAUUCAGAGUGACUUGAAAUUAAGACAGAAAACCUAUGUUUGUCUUUUCUAGAUAAAACUGUAAAACCAUUUGAGCCAUAUUUGAGCACUUUAAAGACAUUUAAAUUUUGUGAGUAAUCUUUAUUUGGUAGGUACUCUAUAGAUAAAAUGUUUAGACUAAACAGAAAUGCUUGAAAAUUAAACAGGAGGAUAAUAAUAAGUCGUACUUUGUGGUCAAAAUAAAAAAAAGUUGAAUUUAAUAUAAUGUAUUUUUUUUUUUUUAUAAGAAUUUCAAUACCAAAAACGACAAAAUUGUUUUAGUAAAAAAUGAUGUGGAACAAAUUUAGUUACUGGCCCUUACAAAUUGUUUUUAUAGGUAUAUAUUUUAUUGUAAUUUACAUUAUUGUAACAAACAUAAUAUGAAAUUUGUUGAAAAAACAAUACUAUUAACCGAGCUCCUAUCAGAAUCGUUUUUCGUUAGCAAUGACUAAUCUUUGUUUACAGAUAUACAUUAAAUUCCCCUCUAUAUCUAUAUCUUAUCUACAACAGUUGUCCACUCAUAGUGCGAAGUGUGUCCGUCUUUUUCAAUUUAAUUUUUGUGUUCUAAUGUUAUAUUAAAUAGGCAAAUUUUAAAAUGUAUACCUAAUUAUUCAAAGUUAAAAAAAAAAUAUAAUUGAUAUCGUUAUAGAUAUUCACUGUAAACGAAUUUGAUAAUUGUUUUACAGGUGUUGUUUUGGGCAGUGAGAAGCAAUAUUUAGAAAAUAGCCAGUUAAUUGUAAAAUUAAUUGCUAGAUGACGUACAUUCACAAAGCUAUUCGUUGUUUACUAUGACUAAAAGUGAAGUACACUUUGAGCCUUACAAAUGAGCUAUGCAAGUAUUCAAGAAUAUGAAUAGAUUUAAUUUCCCAAUGAAAAUGUAUAUUGUUUCCGCAUGCACUAAAAUUGAAAAUCUUGG